AACGAACGCUGGCGGCAUGCCUAACACAUGCAAGUCGAACGAGACCUUCGGGUCUAGUGGCGCACGGGUGCGUAACGCGUGGGAACCUGCCCUUAGGUUCGGAAUAACUCCCCGAAAGGGGUGCUAAUACCGGAUAAUGUCUUCGGACCAAAGAUUUAUCGCCUGUGGAUGGGCCCGCGUUGGAUUAGCUUGUUGGGAGUGUAAAAGCCUACCAAGGCGACGAUCCUUAGCUGGUCUGAGAGGAUGAUCAGCGACACUGGGACUGAGACACGGCCCAGACUCCUACGGGAGGCAGCAGUGGGGAAUAUUGGACAAUGGGCGAAAGCCUGAUCCAGCAAUGCCGCGUGAGUGAUGAAGGCCUUAGGGUUGUAAAGCACUUUUACCCGGGAUGAUACUGACAGUACCGGGAGAAUAAGCACCGGCUAACUCCGUG
Molecule: ribosomal RNA, 433 nt
Filed under: uncultured bacterium
Lineage: Bacteria
Description: partial 16S ribosomal RNA
Rfam family: Bacterial small subunit ribosomal RNA
Source: RNAcentral